GAUGAACGCUGGCGGCGUGCCUAAUACAUGCAAGUCGAGCGAUCAGACGAGUAGCUUGCCCCACUGACGUUAGACGCGGACGGGAGAGAAACAAGUGGACCACCUCCCUAUGAGACAGGGAUCAAUUCGGGAACUCGGAGCUCAUACCGGCUAAUAUAUUGAACAGCAUGGUUCAAUAGCGAAAGCGGGUUUUGCUGCCACUUAUAGAUGGAUCAGCUCCGGAUUAGCAAGUUGGCAAGGUAAAGGCUUACCAAGGCGACGAUGGGUAGCAGGCCUGAGAGGAUGAACGGCCACACUGGAACUGAGACACGGUCCAGACUCCUACGGGAGGCAGCAGUAGGGAAUCUUGGGCAAUGGGCGAAAGCCUGACGGAGCAAUGCCGCGUGAAGGAUGAAGGUCUUCGGAUCGUAAAAUGCUUUUAUACGGGAAGAAAAAGUGUUGGAUUAACUAUGCAGGACAUGACGGUACCGUAUCAGAAAGCCACGGCUAACUACGUG
RNAcentral lists this ribosomal RNA (497 nucleotides) under uncultured bacterium. Its description in RNAcentral is "partial 16S ribosomal RNA". It matches the Rfam family "Bacterial small subunit ribosomal RNA", at positions 28 to 507 of the family's 1533-position model. The record is from RNAcentral.